CCUACGGGAGGCAGCAGUGAGGAAUAUUGGUCAAUGGACGAGAGUCUGAACCAGCCAAGUAGCGUGAAGGAUGACUGCCCUAUGGGUUGUAAACUUCUUUUAUAAAGGAAUAAAACGAGGCACGUGUGCCUGUUUGCAUGUACUUUAUGAAUAAGGAUCGGCGAACUCCGUGCCAGCAGCAGCGGUAAUACGGAGGAUCCGAGCGUUAUCCGGAUUUAUUGGGUUUAAAGGGAGCGUAGAUGGGUUGUUAAGUCAGUUGUGAAAGUUUGCGGCUCAACCGGAAAAUUGCAAUUGAUACUGGCAGUCUUGAGUACAGUUGAGGUAGGCGGAAUUCGUGGUGUAGCGGUGAAAUGCUUAGAUAUCACGAAGAACCCCGAUUGCGAAGGCAGCUUACUAAACUGUGACUGACAUUGAUGCUCGAAAGUGUGGGUAUCAAACAGGAUUAGAUACCCUUGUAGUC
This 460-nucleotide ribosomal RNA is filed under the name uncultured bacterium. RNAcentral describes it as "partial 16S ribosomal RNA". It matches the Rfam family "Bacterial small subunit ribosomal RNA", at positions 338 to 795 of the family's 1533-position model. The record is from RNAcentral.